This is a non-coding RNA of Chinchilla lanigera (long-tailed chinchilla), 512 nucleotides long. The record is from the annotation of a RefSeq genome assembly. NCBI's taxonomy places the organism in Eukaryota, Metazoa, Chordata, Mammalia, Rodentia, Chinchillidae.
CAGGAAGACCAGUGCCAGUUCAUUGUUGUGGGGAUCCCUUCAUGCGGAGUAGGAUUUGUGUUUGUAGAGGGCUUUCAGUUCUUCUCAUCUGGUCUCUCUCCUUGUAAGACCCAGGAGAAGCAACCAUGCUGUGGGCUGUGGCCCUGCUUCUAGCUUUCCUGCCUCCUGCAGGCAGUCAAACAUCUUCUGACAUAGAACGGGGAAUGAUCACAGUCACCAAGAAACCUGGGUCACAUCUGACAAUCACUUGUGAUGUGCGUGCAGUAAAGAGCUACAUCCACUGGUACCGAUUUCAGGAGGGGCAGGCCCCACAACGCCUUCUCUAUUAUGACUUCUUCAGUUCCAAGGCUGUGCUAGAUUUGGAACUCAGACCAGAGAAAUACACUGCUUAUCAAGCCACAGAGCAUAGCAAUAAAUUUGUAGUACGGAAUGUGGAAGAAAGUGACUCUGGGGUGUAUUACUGUGCAGUGUGGACCGGCACAGUGCUUCACACCUGCUCUAUGCCACACUGA